GUGAGUAAAUCUUCUUCCGAACCUAUGGAUAUAGGUUUCAUUAAAGGCCCCCUUUCCUCCGAGGAGAAGAUCAGGCGUAGGGCUAACAACUUAUGUUUAUAUUGUGCCUGCGACAGUCACACUGUUAGAGAUUGCCCAUCCUUGCAGAAACAGAACAAGGUGGGACUCCCAUCGGGUCAACGCUACCGCGAUCAUUGAUUCGGGAGCAACAGCUUCCUAUAUUGAUAGUGUAUUUACUCAAAAAAAUAAAAUACCUGUAGUCAAAAAGAA
Molecule: long non-coding RNA, 270 nt
Organism: Bombina bombina (fire-bellied toad)
Lineage: Eukaryota; Metazoa; Chordata; Amphibia; Anura; Bombinatoridae
Exons: 2
Source: RefSeq, a predicted model, not a curated record